UCAGGGGGCCGGACGGCCGCCGGCGGGUAACCCUCGGGCUGCCCGCGGGAGGAAAGUCCGAACUCCACCGGACAGGGUGCCGGCUAACGGCCGGGCGGCGUGAGCCGACGGAAAGUGCAACAGAAACAAACCGCCGCCGCGCUCCUCGGGGUGCGGGGGUAAGGGUGAAAUGGUGCGGUAAGAGCGCACCGGCGUCCCGGAGACGGGGCGGCCGUGUAAACCCCACCCGGAGCAAGGCCAAAUAGGGGAGCGAUCGGGGCGUCCGGCUCCGCUCCCGGGUAGGCCGCUGGAGGCGGCGGGCAACCGCCGUCCUAGAUGGAUGGCCGUCAUCGCCUCGUCGAGGUGGUACAGAAUUCGGCUUACAGGCCCCCUGACCCC
RNAcentral lists this RNase P RNA (378 nucleotides) under Chloroflexota bacterium. RNAcentral describes it as "Chloroflexi bacterium RNase P RNA component class A". It matches the Rfam family "Bacterial RNase P class A". From Rfam's summary of the family: Ribonuclease P (RNase P) is a ubiquitous endoribonuclease, found in archaea, bacteria and eukarya as well as chloroplasts and mitochondria. Its best characterised activity is the generation of mature 5'-ends of tRNAs by cleaving the 5'-leader elements of precursor-tRNAs. The record is from RNAcentral. Lineage: Bacteria; Bacillati; Chloroflexota.